Molecule: ribosomal RNA, 730 nt
Filed under: uncultured Marinobacter sp.
Lineage: Bacteria; Pseudomonadati; Pseudomonadota; Gammaproteobacteria; Pseudomonadales; Marinobacteraceae
Description: bacterial SSU rRNA
Rfam family: Bacterial small subunit ribosomal RNA
Source: RNAcentral
ACGCUGGCGGCAGGCUUAACACAUGCAAGUCGAGCGGUAACAGGGGGAGCUUGCUCCCUGCUGACGAGCGGCGGACGGGUGAGUAAUGCCUAGGAAUCUGCCCAGUAGUGGGGGAUAGCCCGGGGAAACCCGGAUUAAUACCGCAUACGCCCUACGGGGGAAAGCAGGGGAUCUUCGGACCUUGCGCUAUUGGAUGAGCCUAAGUCGGAUUAGCUAGUUGGUGGGGUAAAGGCCCACCAAGGCGACGAUCCGUAGCUGGUCUGAGAGGAUGAUCAGCCACAUCGGGACUGAGACACGGCCCGAACUCCUACGGGAGGCAGCAGUGGGGAAUAUUGGACAAUGGGGGCAACCCUGAUCCAGCCAUGCCGCGUGUGUGAAGAAGGCUUUCGGGUUGUAAAGCACUUUCAGUGAGGAGGAAGGCUUUCAGAUUAAUACUCUGGAGGAUUGACGCUACUCACAGAAGAAGCACCGGCUAACUCCGUGCCAGCAGCCGCGGUAAUACGGAGGGUGCAAGCGUUAAUCGGAAUUACUGGGCGUAAAGCGCGCGUAGGUGGUUUGAUAAGCGAGAUGUGAAAGCCCCGGGCUUAACCUGGGAACGGCAUUUCGAACUGUCAGGCUAGAGUGUGGUAGAGGGUAGUGGAAUUUCCUGUGUAGCGGUGAAAUGCGUAGAUAUAGGAAGGAACACCAGUGGCGAAGGCGGCUACCUGGACCAACACUGACACUGAGGUGC